AGUCGAGGGGCAGCGGGAAAGUUAGCUUGCUAAUCUUUGCCAGCGACCGGCGCAUGGGUGACUAACACGUAUGCAACCUGUCCGGUACAGGGGGAUAAGCGACAGAAACGCCAUCUAAUACCGCGUGACAACCCGAGGGGGCAUCCCCUUGGGUUCAAAGGAUAGAUCCGGUACCGGCUGGGCAUGCGGCGCAUUAGCUAGUUGGCGGGGCAACGGCCCACCCAAGCAACGAUACGUAGGGGUUCAGAGAGGAAGGUCCCCCACACUGGAACAGACACACGGUACACACUCCUACGGGAGGCAGCAGUGAUGAAUAUUGGUCAGUGGGCGCAAGCCUGAACCAGCCCACUCGCGUGAGGGAAGACGGCCCUACGGGUUGUAAACCUCUUUUGCCGGAGAGCAAACCUGAUCACGUGAGCACACUCGGACACUACCCGGACAAACAGCAUCGGCUAACUCCAUGCAACCAGCCGCGGUAAGACGGACGAAGCGAGCGUGAUCCGGAUUUAUUGGGUGUAAAGGGAGCGCAGGCGGUCCGGCAAGUCCGAUGUGAAAGCCCGGGGCUCAACCCCGGGACUGCAUUGGAAACUGCCGCCUUGGAGUGCCGGGGAGGUAAGUGGAAUUCCUGGUGUAGCGGUGAAAUGGGUAGAUUUUUGGAGGAACACCAGUGGGGAAGGCGGCUUCCUGGACGUUAACUGACGUUGAGGCUCGAAAGCGUGG
Molecule: ribosomal RNA, 720 nt
Filed under: uncultured bacterium
Lineage: Bacteria
Description: bacterial SSU rRNA
Rfam family: Bacterial small subunit ribosomal RNA
Source: RNAcentral